This 348-nucleotide ribosomal RNA is filed under the name Triticum aestivum (bread wheat). Its description in RNAcentral is "partial small subunit ribosomal RNA". Lineage: Eukaryota; Viridiplantae; Streptophyta; Magnoliopsida; Poales; Poaceae. The record is from RNAcentral.
CAGUCCCAUGCGAUCGGCGAGUUCUCCAUCACGACCAAAGUGUCAAUCCUCUCCUCAGGGUCUAGUUUUUGGCUGACAACGGUUUACAGUCCAUCUGAGGGGGCGCGAAAAGAUACUUUCCUGGCAGGAUUAGUGAGAAGCGCCCCUCCCCAGGGCGAGCCCUAGCUUCUCAAUGGAGAUUUCAACAUUAUCUACGAGGCCGGCGACAAGAACAAUAGCAACAUAAAUAGGAGGAUCAUGGGAAAAUUUAGGGCGGCAAUCGACACCGGUGGGCUGCGAGAGAUUAAAUGCAAAAAUAGGCAUUUACAUGGAGUAGCGAACGCCAGGACCCAACUCUUGCGAGCAUAG